UACAGAGGUCUCAAGCGUUGUUCGGAUUUAUUGGGCGUAAAGGGUGUGUAGGCGGCGCGGUAAGUCGGGUGUGAAAUCUCGGGGCUUAACUCCGAAACUGCAUUCGAUACUGCCGUGCUUGAGGACUGGAGAGGAGACUGGAAUUUACGGUGUAGCGGUGAAAUGCGUAGAUAUCGUAAGGAAGACCAGUGGCGAAGGCGGGUCUCUGGACAGUUCCUGACGCUGAGGCACGAAGGCCAGGGGAGCAAACGGG
Molecule: ribosomal RNA, 253 nt
Filed under: uncultured bacterium
Lineage: Bacteria
Description: partial 16S ribosomal RNA
Rfam family: Bacterial small subunit ribosomal RNA
Source: RNAcentral